AAUCAACCGAGAUUCCCCCAGUAGCGGCGAGCGAACGGGGAGGAGCCCAGAGCCUGAAUCAGUGUGUGUGUUAGUGGAAGCGUCUGGAAAGGCGCGCGAUACAGGGUGACAGCCCCGUACACAAAAAUGCACAUAUUGUGAGCUCGAUGAGUAGGGCGGGACACGUGGUAUCCUGUCUGAAUAUGGGGGGACCAUCCUCCAAGGCUAAAUACUCCUGACUGACCGAUAGUGAACCAGUACCGUGAGGGAAAGGCGAAAAGAACCCCGGCGAGGGGAGUGAAAAAGAACCUGAAACCGUGUACGUACAAGCAGUGGGAGCCUCUUUAUGGGGUGACUGCGUACCUUUUGUAUAAUGGGUCAGCGACUUAUAUUCUGUAGCAAGGUUAACCGAAUAGGGGAGCCGAAGGGAAACCGAGUCUUAACUGGGCGUUAAGUUGCAGGGUAUAGACCCGAAACCCGGUGAUCUAGCCAUGGGCAGGUUGAAGGUUGGGUAACACUAACUGGAGGACCGAACCGACUAAUGUUGAAAAAUUAGCGGAUGACUUGUGGCUGGGGGUGAAAGGCCAAUCAAACCGGGAGAUAGCUGGUUCUCCCCGAAAGCUAUUUAGGUAGCGCCUCGUGAAUUCAUCUCCGGGGGUAGAGCACUGUUUCGGCAAGGGGGUCAUCCCGACUUACCAACCCGAUGCAAACUGCGAAUACCGGAGAAUGUUAUCACGGGAGACACACGGCGGGUGCUAACGUCCGUCGUGAAGAGGGAAACAACCCAGACCGCCAGCUAAGGUCCCAAAGUCAUGGUUAAGUGGGAAACGAUGUGGGAAGGCCCAGACAGCCAGGAUGUUGGCUUAGAAGCAGCCAUCAUUUAAAGAAAGCGUAAUAGCUCACUGGUCGAGUCGGCCUGCGCGGAAGAUGUAACGGGGCUAAACCAUGCACCGAAGCUGCGGCAGCGACACUAUGUGUUGUUGGGUAGGGGAGCGUUCUGUAAGCCUGUGAAGGUGGCCUGUGAGGGUUGCUGGAGGUAUCAGAAGUGCGAAUGCUGACAUAAGUAACGAUAAAGCGGGUGAAAAGCCCGCUCGCCGGAAGACCAAGGGUUCCUGUCCAACGUUAAUCGGGGCAGGGUGAGUCGACCCCUAAGGCGAGGCCGAAAGGCGUAGUCGAUGGGAAACAGGUUAAUAUUCCUGUACUUGGUGUUACUGCGAAGGGGGGACGGAGAAGGCUAUGUUGGCCGGGCGACGGUUGUCCCGGUUUAAGCGUGUAGGCUGGUUUUCCAGGCAAAUCCGGAAAACCAAGGCUGAGGCGUGAUGACGAGGCACUACGGUGCUGAAGCGACAAAUGCCCUGCUUCCAGGAAAAGCCUCUAAGCAUCAGGUAACAUCAAAUCGUACCCCAAACCGACACAGGUGGUCAGGUAGAGAAUACCAAGGCGCUUGAGAGAACUCGGGUGAAGGAACUAGGCAAAAUGGUGCCGUAACUUCGGGAGAAGGCACGCUGAUAUGUAGGUGAAGCGACUUGCUCGUGGAGCUGAAAUCAGUCGAAGAUACCAGCUGGCUGCAACUGUUUAUUAAAAACACAGCACUGUGCAAACACGAAAGUGGACGUAUACGGUGUGACGCCUGCCCGGUGCCGGAAGGUUAAUUGAUGGGGUUAGCGGUAACGCGAAGCUCUUGAUCGAAGCCCCGGUAAACGGCGGCCGUAACUAUAACGGUCCUAAGGUAGCGAAAUUCCUUGUCGGGUAAGUUCCGACCUGCACGAAUGGCGUAAUGAUGGCCAGGCUGUCUCCACCCGAGACUCAGUGAAAUUGAACUCGCUGUGAAGAUGCAGUGUACCCGCGGCAAGACGGAAAGACCCCGUGAACCUUUACUAUAGCUUGACACUGAACAUUGAGCCUUGAUGUGUAGGAUAGGUGGGAGGCUUUGAAGUGUGGACGCCAGUCUGCAUGGAGCCGACCUUGAAAUACCACCCUUUAAUGUUUGAUGUUCUAACGUUGGCCCGUAAUCCGGGUUGCGGACAGUGUCUGGUGGGUAGUUUGACUGGGGCGGUCUCCUCCUAAAGAGUAACGGAGGAGCACGAAGGUUGGCUAAUCCUGGUCGGACAUCAGGAGGUUAGUGCAAUGGCAUAAGCCAGCUUGACUGCGAGCGUGACGGCGCGAGCAGGUGCGAAAGCAGGUCAUAGUGAUCCGGUGGUUCUGAAUGGAAGGGCCAUCGCUCAACGGAUAAAAGGUACUCCGGGGAUAACAGGCUGAUACCGCCCAAGAGUUCAUAUCGACGGCGGUGUUUGGCACCUCGAUGUCGGCUCAUCACAUCCUGGGGCUGAAGUAGGUCCCAAGGGUAUGGCUGUUCGCCAUUUAAAGUGGUACGCGAGCUGGGUUUAGAACGUCGUGAGACAGUUCGGUCCCUAUCUGCCGUGGGCGCUGGAGAACUGAGGGGGGCUGCUCCUAGUACGAGAGGACCGGAGUGGACGCAUCACUGGUGUUCGGGUUGUCAUGCCAAUGGCACUGCCCGGUAGCUAA
RNAcentral lists this ribosomal RNA (2505 nucleotides) under Escherichia coli. Its description in RNAcentral is "bacterial LSU rRNA". It matches the Rfam family "Bacterial large subunit ribosomal RNA", at positions 223 to 2752 of the family's 2925-position model. Lineage: Bacteria; Pseudomonadati; Pseudomonadota; Gammaproteobacteria; Enterobacterales; Enterobacteriaceae. The record is from RNAcentral.